GAGAGGUAAGCAUAAGUUGUGUGCAGCUAGCUUGAAACUAGAGGGAGGGGGUUCGAUUCCCUCACAUCUCG
RNAcentral lists this transfer RNA (71 nucleotides) under Gehyra marginata. RNAcentral describes it as "tRNA-Ser". It matches the Rfam family "tRNA". From Rfam's summary of the family: Transfer RNA (tRNA) molecules are approximately 80 nucleotides in length. Their secondary structure includes four short double-helical elements and three loops (D, anti-codon, and T loops). Lineage: Eukaryota; Metazoa; Chordata; Lepidosauria; Squamata; Gekkonidae. The record is from RNAcentral.